GACGAACGCUGGCGGCGUGCUUAACACAUGCAAGUCGAACGAAGAGCGAUGGAAGCUUGCUUCUAUCAAUCUUAGUGGCGAACUGGUGAGUAACGCGUAAUCAACCUGCCCUUCAGAGGGGGACAACAGUUGGAAACGACUGCUAAUACCGCAUACGAUCUAAUCUCGGCAUCGAGGAUAGAUGAAAGGUGGCCUCUACAUGUAAGCUAUCACUGAAGGAGGGGAUUGCGUCUGAUUAGCUAGUUGGAGGGGUAACGGCCCACCAAGGCGAUGAUCAGUAGCCGGUCUGAGAGGAUGAACGGCCACAGUGGGACUGAGACACGGCCCAGACUCCUACGGGAGGCAGCAGUGGGGAAUCUUCCGCAAUGGACGAAAGUCUGACGGAGCAACGCCGCGUGAGUGAGGACGGCCUUCGGGUUGUAAAGCUCUGUUAAUCGGGACGAAAGGCCUUCUUGCGAAUAGUGAGAAGGAUUGACGGUACCGGAAUAGAAAGCCACGGCUAACUACGUG
This 510-nucleotide ribosomal RNA is filed under the name uncultured bacterium. Its description in RNAcentral is "partial 16S ribosomal RNA". It matches the Rfam family "Bacterial small subunit ribosomal RNA", at positions 28 to 507 of the family's 1533-position model. The record is from RNAcentral.